CUACAGAGACAGAGCUCACUGUCCUACUGAGUACAGCAGGUGACAUCAGGCUACAGGUCACAGAUGUCUGAGCUUCCUCUAGAGUUGCUGGUGCUAAACAAAUGCCCCUCAUCAGUAACGUUCCCCCCUAUAUAGCACCCCUGCUGCUUCAUCCCGCACUCACACUUCCUGUCUGUUCCCUUAGCUACGAUACUACGAGAGCCGCACAGAUACCGAAUGUAAAGGGGUGAUUGACCUGGCAGAAGUGGAGGCGGUUAUUCCAGGCACCCCGAGUCUAGGUGCCCCCAAAACAGUGGAUGAAAGAGCAUUUUUUGAUCUGAAGACGACGCGUAGAGUUUACAACUUUUGUGCUUCGGACCCUGUGCUGGCUCAACAGUGGAUUGACCGCAUCCAGAGCUGUUUGUCAGAUGCGUGAGAUCUCAGGGGUAAUUAACCAAAAUCUGCCAGAGCCUAGGCACUCCAACUCUGCACUCCACGACUGCUUUUUGCUUAAACCCCAAUACCAGUGUUGAGAAGGGGAACCCAUACAUUUUGCAGCUAAAACUACAAAGUGUUCAUGGCCUUCUAAAUCAUGCAGGGAAAUGGAGCGACUUCCCCAGAAUAAUUGGGGUAAAUGCUUCCCCAACAGGGCAGCUGAAAGAGGGAACCAGUAAAGUAUGUGCAGUGCUUAUGGUGCCUCCCAAGAAGUCAUAAACCGCAUUCCUCAAUAAACCUGGUUACUCUAACAAGUGAGGUGUUUGCAAAUGGAACCUAUCAGCCAAUAAGCUGUCGGCGCACUCGGCCUGUACUCACAUUCUGACUGGCCAGAGAUUUCAUGGUUAAACGGUUGCUCCUGUCAGACACUCAAGGGAAGAAAAUCAAUGUCGGUCCAUUGCAGAUUAACUGACCAACCUGAUGUAACAAAAGCGGGAAAAGCUGCUCAGAUACAAGGGACGGCACCCGUGUCAUUUUAUUGAUGAGAUCUACGGUGUGGGGGGAGAGGAUUGAUGUCUUGCACCUUUUUAGUUAUGUCUCAGGCCCCUAGCACAUCUCUUAGAAAACAGGCAAAAACCACUAAAUAUUUUAUUAGAUUUCCAAAUCAUAGGAUUUCCAUUGUGAAGAAACAUCACGGCCCCCCAAUACUGACAUGGGGAGCGCCUGUGUGUGCCCACUGUACUAUAAAUACUCAGCAGAAUAACCCCUUAUGCAUUGUGGGCUGCAUGUGGAGGAACGAUCCGGGCACAGUGACUUGCAUGAUGUGGGUUGCACAGUUUGGGUAUAGUAAAGCAGUGCUCUCCCUGGGGGGGACAGGAAACCUUUGGGUUGUUAACGGUAUUUUAACUCUGUGAUUAUUGUACUUCAUUUAAUUAUUAUUAUUAUUAUUGUAUAUUACUGUAUAUAGGGGAAUGUCCUAGAACCAUACAGGGCUGAGACAGAAAGACGAGAUUGAGGGGAUUUGUCAGCCCUUUCACCACCAGAGAGCGUUUGUAGGAAUUGUUCUACAUCAGGAAUUCGCUAAAACUGCAGGAUGAACUUGCUCGUACAUAACCUUGUGAGCACAAGCCUCAUAUCUGUAGCUUUAUUUUAGUUGCAGCCGUCACCAGGGCAGAAUAAUACUUAGGUCCUGUUUCAUACUAUGGUCCGUUUAAUUUAUCUAAAUCUAGUGCAAGAUUAGCUCUGUCGUCUGGUCUGUAAAUACAAAGCACCAACCAACACCAGUUACUGUCUAUUCCUAUUACUGCGGAACAUUUACUGUCCUGGCAGGGUCCUAUCAACCCCGCAGUGAUGUCUGUAAAAGAACAAGGGUCUCAUGUCCUCUCUUGGGGUGAAAGGGUUUCUCACAGUUUCUUUCCUUCAGCACAGAGAUGUUAUUUCUCAGUCAGCGCAGCCGAUCUUUGUACAUUAUGUUAAUUCUCAGGUGAAAGCUUCCCGUCUUUGUAGAAUAUACCGUCUUUGUACAUUGUGUCGACCAUACAGUUUUCGGUUGUGCCUAGGUAUAUAAAUACAGGAAUAUAUCCAGAGAGAAUAAAGACAAACUAACAUCUUUAUUAAGAA
Molecule: long non-coding RNA, 2034 nt
Organism: Bombina bombina (fire-bellied toad)
Lineage: Eukaryota; Metazoa; Chordata; Amphibia; Anura; Bombinatoridae
Exons: 2
Source: RefSeq, a predicted model, not a curated record